This 70-nucleotide transfer RNA is filed under the name Ictidomys tridecemlineatus (thirteen-lined ground squirrel). Its description in RNAcentral is "Spermophilus tridecemlineatus (thirteen-lined ground squirrel) tRNA". It matches the Rfam family "tRNA". From Rfam's summary of the family: Transfer RNA (tRNA) molecules are approximately 80 nucleotides in length. Their secondary structure includes four short double-helical elements and three loops (D, anti-codon, and T loops). Lineage: Eukaryota; Metazoa; Chordata; Mammalia; Rodentia; Sciuridae. The record is from Rfam by way of RNAcentral.
GGUGGUAGCUCAGUGGUAGAGCACUUGCCUCGCACACGUGAGGCCCUGGGUUCGAUCCUCAGCACCACCU